Molecule: ribosomal RNA, 253 nt
Filed under: uncultured bacterium
Lineage: Bacteria
Description: partial 16S ribosomal RNA
Rfam family: Bacterial small subunit ribosomal RNA
Source: RNAcentral
UACGAAGGGGGCUAGCGUUGCUCGGAAUUACUGGGCGUAAAGGGCGCGUAGGCGGACAGUUUAGUCAGAGGUGAAAGCCCAGGGCUCAACCUUGGAAUUGCCUUUGAUACUGACUGUCUUGAGUACGGGAGAGGUGAGUGGAACUCCGAGUGUAGAGGUGAAAUUCGUAGAUAUUCGGAAGAACACCAGUGGCGAAGGCGACUCACUGGCCCGUUACUGACGCUGAGGCGCGAAAGCGUGGGGAGCAAACGGG